Molecule: long non-coding RNA, 1447 nt
Filed under: Heterocephalus glaber (naked mole-rat)
Lineage: Eukaryota; Metazoa; Chordata; Mammalia; Rodentia; Bathyergidae
Description: lncRNA (ENSHGLG00100041887.1)
Source: RNAcentral
UGGCUGUCGGCCGGCAGGGGGAGUGGAGAUUCCUGCGCGGCCUGGGAGGCGCGCGGCUGGCGGCCAGGGCGGCUUCUGGGAAGCCGAGUUUCGCGCAGGCGGCGGCAGCGGUGGCGGCAGCUCUUCCCUGAACUGGAAGCCGAAUGGAACUCUCAGAACAGAAUACAAUAUGCGGUCCACAGCAUCGGCUGACAGUAACCUUCACUCCUUUUCUACACUCCACUUCGUUUUUAAUAAAAGCAAAACAAAGGUUGGUAGUUUUUUUCCUAAACAGUUGUAUGCACUUGACGCACUGAAAUCACAACUUGUUAUGCUACUGUUAAGCUAAAUCACUUCUAUGUCAUUUUGAGAUCUCAGUGCUGAACUUUGUCUUUAUCACUAUUAAAUUUCCUCUAUAGAAAUUCCAGACUGAUAAGUUUUUUUGUAUCCUGGAUUUUCUCCCAAUCUGGACCUACUCCUCCCAGCACGACUUCCUUUAUUUCUGAAGCUGUAAAAUAUAAAUGUUCUGUGGCUUUGAAUGGAAAAAAUAGUUGAGGUCCCGAGCCAUUCUUAAUGGAGUCAAUGGAAAAUUAAGGGGAGGCCUUUAAAGGGAAGCAUUGUUUGAGAUCUUGGAAGUGAAAGGAGGAGAAAAUGUCGGGAAUAGCAUUGCUGCUUGAGUUAAUAUGUUGUUGAGUUUUUCCCUCAUCAAAUUUAUGUGUUUCCUGGGUGCAAGGCAGUUGUAAAUUGUGAGGUUGUAGAAUCUAAAAGGAUCUUUGAGGUCAUCUAGUUCAACCCUUCAAUUUACAAGUUUAAAAAGGGCCAGGAGCUUAUGAGUCAACAGAGGAAGGGAUUGUGAGGUUAGGAGCCAUCAUGGAUCAGAAAGGCAGAUAAAGGGAGGACAAAACUAGAGUCACAAGCUGAAUCCAGCAAGCUGAAUCCACGUGAGGAGGUUGAAGUAGGUUGCCUGAGUCAUAAGCUGAUUUAUGUAUGGCUUAGCAAGCUUUUGCUUCAGUUUCUGUGUUCCUUUUAGAGAGGCCAAGGACACUAAUUAAUAUCAAUUGUAUGCCCCCACAGCAUAAAAUAAAAACCAGGUUUUCUUGAGAAGUGGAAACUUUAGAGAGAUUAGUUUAUAAUCUAGGCACUUGACAUCAAGUUGAGUGUUCUGGGAAAAUAUGUUAGCAAGAUCUAUCUGAAGAGCUUAUUAGAACUUGUUUCUACACAUUUCCCCCCAUUUAUGAAAGUAAUUCCUUGUCAUUUUUUUUUUUUUUUUUUUUUUUAGUACCGGGGAUCGAACUUGAGACCUUGCGCUGCUUUCGAGGCAGGCACUGGAACCACUGAGCUAAAUCUCCAGCCCUGUUUUAAACAUUUUUAAUCACACUGGUUACAUGGUUUUUACAUUUGUAUUUUUCUGCUUAACAUACUCUGAACAUUUUCCCAUUUUAUUUAAAAUCAUUGAAGACGUUACUGA